Ciona intestinalis (vase tunicate) is the source of this 235-nucleotide non-coding RNA. NCBI's taxonomy places the organism in Eukaryota, Metazoa, Chordata, Ascidiacea, Phlebobranchia, Cionidae. The record is from RefSeq and is a predicted model, not a curated record.
CACCCAGCCAAUUUUCCUGAAUUAAAGUUUGGUUAAAGCUAGACGUACAUGGUGCAAUCACAUACAUAUUAUAGCAAGUUAUAAAAUGGGUGUCCUCUUAUACAUGAAGCACAUACAGUAUACAAACAUGAAUAGAAGUAGCUACAUACCUUUGGGGUAUAUUCUCUCAGGAAAGUGUAAGGACUUAAAAUGACAAGGAUUCCUCCUUCAGCAACCAAGUUACUUAACCUCAGCA